Molecule: ribosomal RNA, 981 nt
Filed under: Mortierella bainieri
Lineage: Eukaryota; Fungi; Mortierellomycota; Mortierellomycetes; Mortierellales; Mortierellaceae
Description: eukaryotic LSU rRNA
Rfam family: Eukaryotic large subunit ribosomal RNA
Source: RNAcentral
AGUGAAGCGGGAUGAGCUCAAAUUUAAAAUCUGGCUGGUUUACUAGUCCGAAUUGUAGUUUAUAGAAGCGUUUUCGGUGGCAGCCUGGGUAUAAAUCCUUUGGAAUAGGGUAUCAUAGAGGGUGAGAAUCCCGUCUUUGACUCAGUGCAUGCUACUAUGUGAUACGUUUUCAAAGAGUCGAGUUGUUUGGGAAUGCAGCUCAAAAUGGGUGGUAAAUUUCAUCUAAGGCUAAAUAUUGGCGAGAGACCGAUAGCGAACAAGUACCGUGAGGGAAAGAUGAAAAGAACUUUGAAAAGAGAGUUAAACAGUGCGUGAAAUUGUUGAAAGGGAAACGUUUGACACCAGUUAUGCGGGUGGAAAAUCAGUCUUUUGCAGUGGGGAGUUGUGGGCGUUCAGACCGCAAGGCUGGCGUUUGCUUCAUCUUUGCUGUAAGUGAUGCACUUUUUCAUUUGCAGGUCAACAUCAGUUUGCUUUGCUGGACAAAACCCCAAGGGAAGGUGGCAGCUUAGGCUGUGUUAUAGCCCUGGGGCGAUACAGUGGAGUGGACUGAGGUUUUCGCAGUGUGUGCUCUCGGGCAAGGCUGACUGGGUGCUAUGGGAUCGUUCGGUGUACAAUGCAUGCAUUUUGCGCCGUGUCUUUUUCAUACUCGCUCAACUCGGCUCUUCCACACUUAGGAUGUUGACUUAAUGGUUUUAAACGACCCGUCUUGAAACACGGACCAAGGAGUCUAACAUAUAUGCAAGUGUUUGGGUGGCAAACCCAUGCGCGUAAUGAAAGUGAACGUAGGUGCGAUCCGCAAGGUGCAGCAUCGACCGAUCUUGAUAUUUUUGGAUAGAUUUGAGUAAGAGCAUAUAUGCUGGGACCCGAAAGAUGGUGAACUAUGCCUGAAUAGGGUGAAGCCAGAGGAAACUCUGGUGGAGGCUCGUAGCGAUUCUGACGUGCAAAUCGAUCGUCAAAUUUGGGUAUAGGGGCGAAAGACUA